CAGUCGACGAUAUUCUCAUUUUAAAAUUUAAAUGUAUCGUGCAUCUUUAAAUAUUUAAUUAGUAUACUUCAUACAAUUUUUUAAUUAUAGUUUAUUAAAGUAAAUUAAAUAAUUAGCUUAAAUUUUGAAGCUAAAGUACGUAUCAUUCUUUACUCAAAUAAAAUAAAUUGAAAGAUUGUGUGAUAAAAACUCAGACUUUUAAAAAGAUUGAAUAACUGUUUUAAACGAGUUCAUAGUUCCGAUAAGUU
This 248-nucleotide long non-coding RNA is filed under the name Ananas comosus (pineapple). Its description in RNAcentral is "long non-coding RNA (ACOM_LNC009296)". The record is from RNAcentral. Lineage: Eukaryota; Viridiplantae; Streptophyta; Magnoliopsida; Poales; Bromeliaceae.